RNAcentral lists this ribosomal RNA (253 nucleotides) under uncultured bacterium. RNAcentral describes it as "partial 16S ribosomal RNA". It matches the Rfam family "Bacterial small subunit ribosomal RNA", at positions 524 to 776 of the family's 1533-position model. The record is from RNAcentral.
UACGGGGGGGGCAAGCGUUGUUCGGAAUUACUGGGCGUAAGGGGCUCGUAGGCGGCCAACUAAGUCAGACGUGAAAUCCCUCGGCUUAACCGGGGAACUGCAUCUGAUACUGGAUGGCUUGAGUUCGGGAGGGGGAUGUGGAAUUCCAGGUGUAGCGGUGAAAUGCGUAGAUAUCUGGAGGAACACCGGUGGCGAAGGCGGCAUCCUGGACCGACACUGACGCUGAGGAGCGAAAGCCAGGGGAGCAAACGGG